UCCCUGUUGGCUUAGCAGUAAAGAAUCUGCCUGUGAUGCAGGAGAUUCAGGUUCAGUUCCUGAGUCAGGAA
This 71-nucleotide transfer RNA is filed under the name Bos taurus (domestic cattle). It matches the Rfam family "tRNA". Rfam says of the family: Transfer RNA (tRNA) molecules are approximately 80 nucleotides in length. Their secondary structure includes four short double-helical elements and three loops (D, anti-codon, and T loops). Further hydrogen bonds mediate the characteristic L-shaped molecular structure. tRNAs have two regions of fundamental functional importance: the anti-codon, which is responsible for specific mRNA codon recognition, and the 3' end, to which the tRNAs corresponding amino acid is attached (by aminoacyl-tRNA synthetases). tRNAs cope with the degeneracy of the genetic code in two manners: having more than one tRNA (with a specific anti-codon) for a particular amino acid; and 'wobble' base-pairing, i.e. permitting non-standard base-pairing at the 3rd anti-codon position. Lineage: Eukaryota; Metazoa; Chordata; Mammalia; Artiodactyla; Bovidae. The record is from Rfam by way of RNAcentral. RNAcentral also lists the same sequence under 2 other names.